This 250-nucleotide ribosomal RNA is filed under the name uncultured bacterium. RNAcentral's name for it is "partial 16S ribosomal RNA". It matches the Rfam family "Bacterial small subunit ribosomal RNA", at positions 779 to 1028 of the family's 1533-position model. The record is from RNAcentral.
UAGAUACCCUGGUAGUCCACGCCGUAAACGAUGUCUACUAGAUGUUCGAGGUCUUGUACUUUGAGUAUCGCAGCUAACGCAUUAAGUAGACCGCCUGGGGAGUACGGUCGCAAGAUUAAAACUCAAAUGAAUUGACGGGGGCCCGCACAAGCGGUGGAGCAUGUGGUUUAAUUCGACGCAACGCGAAGAACCUUACCUACUCUUGACAUCUACAGAAGAACGCAGAGAUGUGUUUGUGCCUUCGGGAACU